This 626-nucleotide long non-coding RNA is filed under the name Gallus gallus (chicken). RNAcentral's name for it is "long non-coding RNA NONGGAT003204". The record is from RNAcentral. Lineage: Eukaryota; Metazoa; Chordata; Aves; Galliformes; Phasianidae.
CAGGUAAUGGAACAUCACGAGUCCCAUGUUGGUGCAUUGCUUGUGUGCAGGGGGUCUGUUAUCUCAUCCCAAUGAGCCUCAUGGCUGAUGAUAGAGUGAGGUGCAUCAGCCGGGACCUGAAGAACACUCCUGAACCCCAGUGGCCAUUUGCUUCAACCUCACUCAGUAUAAUACAGUCUGCACCACUUGAGCAUACUGACCACAGGUAUUCUGUUCCUGUUUGCUGCUUCUCUCAUGUAUCUCCCUUACUGAUUCGUCAGUGAAAAUGGAUCCCAGGGCAUCACUCUCAGAGCACAUCACGGCUGACUACCCCAGGGUCUUACUGUCAUUUCUGUUUCAGCAGAAGAUCUGGGUUUGUGUUAAUAAAAAAGAAAGGGUUGUCCUCUUCUGGAUGACUAUGGUCGGGAUCUCUCCAUAUAACUCAUCCCAAUUGUCAGGAGAUGCUAUUUGUUUCCUAAUCUGUAUGAUACCCUGUAUGAUAUUGGCCCUGCCUGGAAGGGAGGUUGGAGAUUCAUGAUCCUUGAGGUCCCUUCCGACCCAGACCAUUCUUCCUCCCCAUGCCUCUUCCUCCCAUCCCCUGACCCCCAUUAAGUAGCUUAUAAACAGCAUUAAUUAUAUCCCUAAUG